GACGGAGGGGGCUGGCGUUGUUGGGAAUUACUGGGCGUAAAGCGCACGUAGGCGGAUCAGAAAGUCAGAGGUGAAAUCCCAGGGCUCAACCUUGGAACUGCCUUUGAAACUCCUGGUCUUGAGGUCGAGAGAGGUGAGUGGAAUUCCGAGUGUAGAGGUGAAAUUCGUAGAUAUUCGGAGGAACACCAGUGGCGAAGGCGGCUCACUGGCUCGAUACUGACGCUGAGGUGCGAAAGCGUGGGGAUCAAACAGG
Molecule: ribosomal RNA, 253 nt
Filed under: uncultured bacterium
Lineage: Bacteria
Description: partial 16S ribosomal RNA
Rfam family: Bacterial small subunit ribosomal RNA
Source: RNAcentral